This 429-nucleotide ribosomal RNA is filed under the name Bacteroidota bacterium. Its description in RNAcentral is "Bacteroidetes bacterium partial 16S ribosomal RNA". It matches the Rfam family "Bacterial small subunit ribosomal RNA", at positions 355 to 776 of the family's 1533-position model. Lineage: Bacteria; Pseudomonadati; Bacteroidota. The record is from RNAcentral.
UAGGGAAUCUUCGGCAAUGGGGGGAACCCUGACCGAGCAACGCCGCGUGAGUGAAGAAGGUUUUCGGAUCGUAAAGCUCUGUUGUUAAGGAAGAACGAGUGUGAGAAUGGAAAGUUCAUACUGUGACGGUACUUAACCAGAAAGGGACGGCUAACUACGUGCCAGCAGCCGCGGUAAUACGUAGGUCCCGAGCGUUGUCCGGAUUUAUUGGGCGUGAAGCGAGCGCAGGCGGUUAGAUAAGUCUGAAGUUAAAGGCAGUGGCUCAACCAUUGUAGGCUUUGGAAACUGUUUAACUUGAGUGCAGAAGGGGAGAGUGGAAUUCCAUGUGUAGCGGUGAAAUGCGUAGAUAUAUGGAGGAACACCGGUGGCGAAAGCGGCUCUCUGGUCUGUAACUGACGCUGAGGCUCGAAAGCGUGGGGAGCGAACAGG